RNAcentral lists this ribosomal RNA (268 nucleotides) under uncultured Eubacteriales bacterium. RNAcentral's name for it is "uncultured Clostridiales bacterium partial 16S ribosomal RNA". It matches the Rfam family "Bacterial small subunit ribosomal RNA", at positions 71 to 339 of the family's 1533-position model. Lineage: Bacteria; Bacillati; Bacillota; Clostridia; Eubacteriales. The record is from RNAcentral.
UUCGGAUGAUUUCUAUUUGACUGAGCGGCGGACGGGUGAGUAACGCGUGAGUAACCUGCCUAUCAGAGGGGGACAACAUUUCGAAAGGGAUGCUAAUACCGCAUGAUAUCUAAGUACCGCAUGGUAUUUAGAUCAAAGAUUUAUCGCUGAUAGAUGGCCUUGCGUCUGAUUAGUUAGUUGGUGGGGUAACGGCCUACCAAGACGACGAUCAGUAGCCGGACUGAGAGGUUGAACGGCCACAUUGGGACUGAGAUACGGCCCAGACUCC